GACGAACGCUGGCGGCGUGCUUAACACAUGCAAGUCGAACGGAAAGGCCCUGCUUUUGUGGGGUGCUCGAGUGGCGAACGGGUGAGUAACACGUGAGUAACCUGCCCUUGACUUUGGGAUAACUUCAGGAAACUGGGGCUAAUACCGGAUAGGAGCUCCUGCUGCGUGGUGGGGGUUGGAAAGUUUCGGCGGUUGGGGAUGGACUCGCGGCUUAUCAGCUUGUUGGUGGGGUAGUGGCUUACCAAGGCGUUGACGGGUAGCCGGCCUGAGAGGGUGACCGGCCACAUUGGGACUGAGAUACGGCCCAGACUCCUACGGGAGGCAGCAGUGGGGAAUAUUGCACAAUGGGCGGAAGCCUGAUGCAGCAACGCCGCGUGAGGGAUGACGGCCUUCGGGUUGUAAACCGCUUUUGGCUGUGACGAAGCGUGAGUGACGGUAAUGGGUAAAGAAGCACCGGCUAACUACGUG
Molecule: ribosomal RNA, 468 nt
Filed under: uncultured bacterium
Lineage: Bacteria
Description: partial 16S ribosomal RNA
Rfam family: Bacterial small subunit ribosomal RNA
Source: RNAcentral